GAUGAACGCUGGCGGCGUGCCUAAUACAUGCAAGUCGAGCGAACGGACGAGAAGCUUGCUUCUCUGAUGUUAGCGGCGGACGGGUGAGUAACACGUGGAUAACCUACCUAUAAGACUGGGAUAACUUCGGGAAACCGGAGCUAAUACCGGAUAAUAUUAUGAACCGCAUGGUUCAAAAGUGAAAGACGGUCUUGCUGUCACUUAUAGAUGGAUCCGCGCUGCAUUAGCUAGUUGGUAAGGUAACGGCUUACCAAGGCAACGAUGCAUAGCCGACCUGAGAGGGUGAUCGGCCACACUGGAGCUGAGACACGGACCAGACUCCUAAGGGAGGCAGCAGUAGCGAAUCUUCCGCAAUAGGCGGAAGCCUGACGGAGCAACGCCGCGUGAGUGAUGAAGGUCUUCGGAGCGUAAAACUCUGUUAUUAGGGAAGAACAUAUGUGUAAGUAACUGUGCACAUCUUGACGGUACCUAAACAGAAAGCCACGGCUAACUACGUG
RNAcentral lists this ribosomal RNA (497 nucleotides) under uncultured bacterium. Its description in RNAcentral is "partial 16S ribosomal RNA". It matches the Rfam family "Bacterial small subunit ribosomal RNA", at positions 28 to 507 of the family's 1533-position model. The record is from RNAcentral.